GAUGAACGCUGGCGGCGUGCCUAAUACAUGCAAGUCGAGCGAACGUACGAGAAGCUUUCUUCCCUGAUUUUAGCGGCGGACGGGGGAGUAACACGUUGAUACCCUACCUUUAAGACUGGGAUAACUUCGGGAAACCGGAGCUAAUACCGGAUGAUAUUUUUAACCGCAUGUUUCAAAAGUCAAAGACUGUCUUGCUGUCACUUCUAGAUGGUUCCGCGCUGCAUUAGCUAGUUGGUAAUGUAACGGCUUACCAAGGCAACGAUGCAUAGCCGACCUGAGAGGAUGAUCGGAAACACAGGAACUGAGACAAGGUCAAAACGACGACGGGAGGAAGCAGUAGGGAAUCUGCCGCAAUGGGCGAAAGCCUGACGGAGAAACGCCGCGUGAGUGAUGAAGGUCUUAGGAUAGUAAAACGCUGUUAUUAGGGAAGAACAUAUGUGUAAGUAACUGUGCACAACUUGACGGUACCGAAUCAGAAAGACAAGGCUAAAUACGAG
This 497-nucleotide ribosomal RNA is filed under the name uncultured bacterium. RNAcentral describes it as "partial 16S ribosomal RNA". It matches the Rfam family "Bacterial small subunit ribosomal RNA", at positions 28 to 507 of the family's 1533-position model. The record is from RNAcentral.